UACAUGGGGUGCAAACGUUGCUUGGAAUUAUUGGGCGUAAAGCGCACGUAGGCGGUCCGUUAAGUCGGAUGUGAAAGCCCCCGGCUCAACCGGGGAAGUGCAUCCGAAACUGGCAGGCUAGAGUACGAAAGAGGGUCGCGGAAUUCCCGGUGUAGAGGUGAAAUUCGUAGAUAUCGGGAGGAACACCGGUGGCGAAGGCGGCGACCUGGGUCGAUACUGACGCUGAGGUGCGAAAGCGUGGGGAGCAAACAGG
RNAcentral lists this ribosomal RNA (253 nucleotides) under uncultured bacterium. RNAcentral's name for it is "partial 16S ribosomal RNA". It matches the Rfam family "Bacterial small subunit ribosomal RNA", at positions 524 to 776 of the family's 1533-position model. The record is from RNAcentral.